Molecule: transfer RNA, 77 nt
Filed under: Acidobacteriota bacterium
Lineage: Bacteria; Pseudomonadati; Acidobacteriota
Also listed under: 4 other names
Description: tRNA-Arg
Rfam family: tRNA
About the family: Transfer RNA (tRNA) molecules are approximately 80 nucleotides in length.
Source: RNAcentral
GCGCCCGUAGCUCAGCUGGAUAGAGCGGAUGCCUCCGGAGCAUCAGGUCGGGAGUUCGAAUCUCUCCGGGCGCACCA